RNAcentral lists this transfer RNA (85 nucleotides) under Archaeoglobales archaeon. RNAcentral's name for it is "tRNA-Ser". It matches the Rfam family "tRNA". From Rfam's summary of the family: Transfer RNA (tRNA) molecules are approximately 80 nucleotides in length. Their secondary structure includes four short double-helical elements and three loops (D, anti-codon, and T loops). Lineage: Archaea; Methanobacteriati; Methanobacteriota; Archaeoglobi; Archaeoglobales. The record is from RNAcentral.
GCCGGGGUUGCAGAGUCAGGCUACUGCGGUGGACUCGAGAUCCACUGGGCGUUUGCCCGCCAGGGUUCAAAUCCCUGCCCCGGCG